UACGUAGGGACCAAGCGUUGUUCGGAUUUACUGGGCGUAAAGGGCGCGUAGGCGGCUUAACAAGUCACUUGUGAAAUCUCCGGGCUUAACUCGGAACGGCCAAGUGAAACUGUCAAGCUAGAGUGCAGAAGGGGCAAUCGGAAUUCUUGGUGUAGCGGUGAAAUGCGUAGAUAUCAAGAGGAACACCUGAGGUGAAGACGGGUUGCUGGGCUGACACUGACGCUGAGGCGCGAAAGCGUGGGUAGCAAACAGG
This 253-nucleotide ribosomal RNA is filed under the name uncultured bacterium. Its description in RNAcentral is "partial 16S ribosomal RNA". It matches the Rfam family "Bacterial small subunit ribosomal RNA", at positions 524 to 776 of the family's 1533-position model. The record is from RNAcentral.